UGCAGUCGAGCGGUAAGGCCCUUUCGGGGGUACACGAGCGGCGAACGGGUGAGUAACACGUGGGUGACCUGCCCUCCACUCUGGGAUAAGCCCGGGAAACUGGGUCUAAUACCGGAUAGGACCACUGGAUGCAUGUCUGGUGGUGGAAAGUUUUUUCGGUGGGGGAUGGGCCCGCGGCCUAUCAGCUUGUUGGUGGGGUGAUGGCCUACCAAGGCGGUGACGGGUAGCCGGCCUGAGAGGGCGACCGGCCACACUGGGACUGAGACACGGCCCAGACUCCUACGGGAGGCAGCAGUGGGGAAUAUUGCGCAAUGGGCGGAAGCCUGACGCAGCGACGCCGCGUGGGGGAUGACGGCCUUCGGGUUGUAAACCUCUUUCGCCAGGGACGAAGCUAACGUGACGGUACCUGGAGAAGAAGCACCGGCCAACUACGUGCCAGCAGCCGCGGUAACACGUAGGGUGCGAGCGUUGUCCGGAAUUAUUGGGCGUAAAGAGCUCGUAGGCGGUGUGUCGCGUCGGCCGUGAAAACUUGGGGCUUAACUCUGAGCGUGCGGUCGAUACGGGCAUCACUUGAGUUCGGCAGGGGAGACUGGAAUUCCUGGUGUAGCGGUGAAAUGCGCAGAUAUCAGGAGGAACACCGGUGGCGAAGGCGGGUCUCUGGGCCGAUACUGACGCUGAGGAGCG
Molecule: ribosomal RNA, 684 nt
Filed under: Pseudonocardia sp. 11390
Lineage: Bacteria; Bacillati; Actinomycetota; Actinomycetes; Pseudonocardiales; Pseudonocardiaceae
Description: bacterial SSU rRNA
Rfam family: Bacterial small subunit ribosomal RNA
Source: RNAcentral